GUCGCAUAUCAAAUGAAAGAACAUAAAGCGUACAUUUCAAAUUUCAAAUUGACGUCUCCCAAAAAUGGGUUGGAUGGGGUCAUUGAGUGCAAAAAAUAAAUGUUCUUUUAAGGUAGGGUUGUUGUAUAUCAAAUGAAAGGUCAUGAUGUGUACAUUGGAAAUAUCAAAUCCCUACCUCCAAAAAUUAGUUGGAUAGGGUUAUUAAGUGCAAAAAUCAAACUUUCUAGAACAUAGAGUUGUUGCAUAUCAAAUGAAAGCUCAU
RNAcentral lists this long non-coding RNA (262 nucleotides) under Mytilus galloprovincialis (Mediterranean mussel). The record is from RNAcentral. Lineage: Eukaryota; Metazoa; Mollusca; Bivalvia; Mytilida; Mytilidae.